GAGUUUGAUUCUGGCUCAGAUUGAACGCUGGCGGCAUGCUUUACACAUGCAAGUCGAACGGCAGCACAGGGAGCUUGCUCCUGGGUGGCGAGUGGCGAACGGGUGAGUAAUGUAUCGGAACGUGCCUGGUAGUGGGGGAUAACUACUCGAAAGAGUGGCUAAUACCGCAUGAGAUCUUUGGAUGAAAGCGGGGGACCUUCGGGCCUCGCGCUACUGGAGCGGCCGAUAUCAGAUUAGGUUGUUGGUGGGGUAAAGGCCUACCAAGCCUGCGAUCUGUAGCUGGUCUGAGAGGACGACCAGCCACACUGGGACUGAGACACGGCCCAGACUCCUACGGGAGGCAGCAGUGGGGAAUUUUGGACAAUGGGCGCAAGCCUGAUCCAGCAAUGCCGCGUGCAGGACGAAGGCCUUCGGGUUGUAAACUGCUUUUGUACAGAACGAAAAGUCUCUGGCUAAUAUCUAGAGAUCAUGACGGU
This 476-nucleotide ribosomal RNA is filed under the name Brachymonas sp. canine oral taxon 015. RNAcentral describes it as "bacterial SSU rRNA". It matches the Rfam family "Bacterial small subunit ribosomal RNA", at positions 9 to 476 of the family's 1533-position model. Lineage: Bacteria; Pseudomonadati; Pseudomonadota; Betaproteobacteria; Burkholderiales; Comamonadaceae. The record is from RNAcentral.